This 422-nucleotide ribosomal RNA is filed under the name uncultured Glomeraceae. RNAcentral's name for it is "SSU rRNA". It matches the Rfam family "Eukaryotic small subunit ribosomal RNA", at positions 459 to 886 of the family's 1831-position model. Lineage: Eukaryota; Fungi; Glomeromycota; Glomeromycetes; Glomerales; Glomeraceae. The record is from RNAcentral.
GGGAGGUAGUGACAAUAAAUAACAAUACGGGGUUCUUUCGGAUCUCGUAAUUGGAAUGAGUACAAUUUAAAUCUCUUAACGAGGAACAAUUGGAGGGCAAGUCUGGUGCCAGCAGCCGCGGUAAUUCCAGCUCCAAUAGCGUAUAUUAAAGUUGUUGCAGUUAAAAAGCUCGUAGUUGAAUUUCGGGAUCAAUUUAUCGGUCGUGCCUACGGUAUGAACUGGUACAAUUGGUUUCUCCCUUCUGACGAAGCAUGAUGUCAUUAAUUUGGUGUCGUGGGGAAUCAGGACUGUUACUUUGAAAAAUUAGAGUGUUUAAAGCAAGCAUUAGCUUGAAUACAUUAGCAUGGAAUAAUGAAAUAGGACGUUUGAUCCUAUUUCGUUGGUUUCUAGGAUCGACGUAAUGAUUAAUAGGGAUAGUUGGG